ACGCUCGACACCUACGGGGGGCAGCAGUGGGGAAUAUUGCACAAUGGGGGAAACCCUGAUGCAGCGACGCCGCGUGAGCGAAGAAGUAUUUCGGUAUGUAAAGCUCUAUCAGCAGGGAAGAAACUGACGGUACCUGACUAAGAAGCACCGGCUAAAUACGUGCCAGCAGCCACGGUAAUCUGAGCGGGCUGGCAAGGC
RNAcentral lists this ribosomal RNA (198 nucleotides) under uncultured bacterium. RNAcentral describes it as "partial 16S ribosomal RNA". It matches the Rfam family "Bacterial small subunit ribosomal RNA", at positions 328 to 539 of the family's 1533-position model. The record is from RNAcentral.